RNAcentral lists this ribosomal RNA (616 nucleotides) under Corynebacterium tuberculostearicum. RNAcentral's name for it is "bacterial SSU rRNA". It matches the Rfam family "Bacterial small subunit ribosomal RNA", at positions 44 to 673 of the family's 1533-position model. The record is from RNAcentral. Lineage: Bacteria; Bacillati; Actinomycetota; Actinomycetes; Mycobacteriales; Corynebacteriaceae.
GUGCUUAACACAUGCAAGUCGAACGGAAAGGCCCUGCUUGCAGGGUACUCGAGUGGCGAACGGGUGAGUAACACGUGGGUGAUCUGCCCUGCACUUCGGGAUAAGCCUGGGAAACUGGGUCUAAUACCGGAUAGGAGCCAUUUUUAGUGUGAUGGUUGGAAAGUUUUUUCGGUGUAGGAUGAGCUCGCGGCCUAUCAGCUUGUUGGUGGGGUAAUGGCCUACCAAGGCGGCGACGGGUAGCCGGCCUGAGAGGGUGGACGGCCACAUUGGGACUGAGAUACGGCCCAGACUCCUACGGGAGGCAGCAGUGGGGAAUAUUGCACAAUGGGCGCARGCCUGAUGCAGCGACSCCGCGUGGGGGAUGACGGCCUUCGGGUUGUAAACUCCUUUCGCUAGGGACGAAGCUUUUUGUGACGGUACCUAGAUAAGAAGCACCGGCUAAYUACGUGCCAGCAGCCGCGGUAWUACGUAGGGUGCGAGCGUUGUCCGGAAUUACUGGGCGUAAAGGGCUCGUAGGUGGUUUGUCGCGUCGUCUGUGAAAUUCCGGGGCUUAACUCCGGGCGUGCAGGCGAUACGGGCAUAACUUGAGUACUGUAGGGGUAACUGGAAUUCCUGG